Molecule: ribosomal RNA, 638 nt
Filed under: Papiliotrema flavescens
Lineage: Eukaryota; Fungi; Basidiomycota; Tremellomycetes; Tremellales; Rhynchogastremaceae
Description: eukaryotic LSU rRNA
Source: RNAcentral
CUCAGAACCUGCCAUCGCGCAUCUUUUGACUUUGACCUGAAAUCAGGUAGGGCUACCCGCUGAACUUAAGCAUAUCAAUAAGCGGAGGAAAAGAAACUAACAAGGAUUCCCCUAGUAACGGCGAGUGAACCGGGAAGAGCUCAAAUUUGAAAUCUGGCGUGCUCAGUGCGUCCGAGUUGUAAUCUAUAGAGGCGUUUUCCGUGCCGGACUGUGUCCAAGUCCCUUGGAACAGGGUAUCAAAGAGGGUGAUAAUCCCGUACUUGACACAAUGACCGGUGCUCUGUGAUACGUCUUCUACGAGUCGAGUUGUUUGGGAAUGCAGCUCAAAAUGGGUGGUGAGUUCCAUCUAAAGCUAAAUAUUGGCGAGAGACCGAUAGCGAACAAGUACCGUGAGGGAAAGAUGAAAAGCACUUUGGAAAGAGAGUUAAACAGUACGUGAAAUUGUUGAAAGGGAAACGAUUGAAGUCAGUCGUGACUGAGAGGCUCAGCCGGUUCUGCCGGUGUAUUCCCCUCAGUCGGGUCAACAUCAGUUUUGUUCGGUGGAUAAGGGCAGUUGGAAGGUGGCACCCUCGGGUGUGUUAUAGCCARCUGUCGCAUACAUCGGAUGAGACUGAGGAAUGCAGCUCGCCUUUAUGGCC